GACGUAGGGCGCGAGCGUUGUCCGGAUUCACUGGGUUUAAAGGGUGCGUAGGUGGGCAGGUAAGUCAGUGGUGAAAUCUCCGGGCUUAACCCGGAAACUGCCGUUGAUACUAUCUGUCUUGAAUAUAGUGGAGGUGAGCGGAAUAUGUCAUGUAGCGGUGAAAUGCUUAGAUAUGACAUAGAACAUCGAUUGCGAAGGCAGCUCACAAAACUGUAACUGACGCUGAGGCACGAAAGCGUGGGUAUCAAACAGG
This 253-nucleotide ribosomal RNA is filed under the name uncultured bacterium. Its description in RNAcentral is "partial 16S ribosomal RNA". It matches the Rfam family "Bacterial small subunit ribosomal RNA", at positions 524 to 776 of the family's 1533-position model. The record is from RNAcentral.